CUAAAAGCAGCCACCUUUUAAAUCGCGUCAAAGCAUAAAUUUGUUAUUGCCUAAAUACCAAUAAUUAUAAUUAACCCUUAUUUUAUAAUGAGUGACUCCAUACCCAUAUGGAAGACACCAUGCUGAGAUUAGUAACAAGAAUAAGAUAUUCUCCAAAAUGUAAACGUAAACCAAAAUGGACUAUCCAUUGGUAAUUAACUAAAAUGAACCUACUGCAGAAACACUACCAAGAGAACCCUGCACCGUAAAUAGUUAACCUAACACUAGGACAUUACUGGAAAGAUUAAAAGAAAGAGAAGGAAUUCGGCAAAUUACAACCCCGCCUGUUUACCAAAAACAUCGCCUCUUGCACUCUCAUAAGAGGUCCCGCCUGCCCAGUGAAUUUUCAACGGCCGCGGUACCCUAACCGCGCGAAGGUAGCGUAAUCACUUGUUCUUUAAAUGGGGACUUGUAUCAAUGGCAUCACGAGGGUUACACUGUCUCCUCUUUCCAAUCAGUGAAAUUGAUCUUCCCGUGAAGAAGCGGGAAUAUAACUAUAAGACGAGAAGACCCCAUGGAGCUUUAAAUCGCGCAGCAACUUAAAUACACAACCCCUCAUAUUCUGUAAGACCGUGCUGCAACGUUUUAGGUUGGGGUGACCACGGAGUAAAAUCAAACCUCCACGACGAAAAGGCAAUAAUCUUUAUUUAUGAACUACUGUUCUAAAAAUUAGCACACUAACGGAUAAUGAUCCGAUAAUCGAUCAACGGACCAAGUUACCCUGGGGAUAACAGCGCAAUCUACUUUGAGAGCUCAUAUCGACAAGUAGGCUUACGACCUCGAUGUUGGAUCAGGGUAUCCCGGUGGUGCAGCCGCUACUGAAGGUUC
Molecule: ribosomal RNA, 867 nt
Filed under: Polypedates otilophus (Bongon whipping frog)
Lineage: Eukaryota; Metazoa; Chordata; Amphibia; Anura; Rhacophoridae
Description: partial 16S ribosomal RNA
Rfam family: Bacterial large subunit ribosomal RNA
Source: RNAcentral